RNAcentral lists this ribosomal RNA (836 nucleotides) under Haptophyta environmental samples. Its description in RNAcentral is "bacterial SSU rRNA". It matches the Rfam family "Bacterial small subunit ribosomal RNA", at positions 481 to 1325 of the family's 1533-position model. Lineage: Eukaryota; Haptophyta. The record is from RNAcentral.
GAGGAAUAAGCAUCGGCUAACUCCGUGCCAGCAGCCGCGGUAAUACGGGGGAUGCAAGCGUUAUCCGGAAUGAUUGGGCGUAAAGCGCCUGUAGGUUGUUUAUUAAGUCCGUUGUUAAAGCCUAGGGCUUAACCCUAGAAAAGCAAUGGAAACUAGUAGACUAGAGUAUGGCAGGGGUAGAGGGAAUUUCUAGUGUAGCGGUGAAAUGCGUAGAUAUUAGAAAGAACACCGGUGGCGAAAGCGCUCUACUGGACCAUUACUGACACUCAGAGGCGAAAGCUAGGGUAGCAAAAGGGAUUAGAUACCCCUGUAGUCCUAGCCGUAAACGAUGGAUACUAGAUGUUGUGCAUUAUGUACAGUAUCGUAGCUAACGCGUUAAGUAUCCCGCCUGGGGAGUACGCUCGCAAGGGUGAAACUCAAAGGAAUUGACGGGGGCCCGCACAAGCGGUGGAGCAUGUGGUUUAAUUCGAUGCAACGCGAAGAACCUUACCAGGGCUUGACAUACUACGAAUUUUCUUGAAAGAGAAAAGUGCCUUCGGGAAUGUAGAUACAGGUGGUGCAUGGCUGUCGUCAGCUCGUGUCGUGAGAUGUUGGGUUAAGUCCCGCAACGAGCGCAACCCUUAUUUUUAGUUACCAAUUCGUUGGGUUCUCUAGAAAGACUGCCGGUGACAAACCGGAGGAAGGUGAGGAUGACGUCAAGUCAGCAUGCCCCUUAUGUCCUGGGCUACACACGUGCUACAAUGGUUAAGACAAAGAGUUGCGAGCUUGUAAAAGUCAGCUAAUCUCGUAAACUUAGCCUAAGUUCAGAUUGUAGGCUGCAACUCGCCUACGUGAAG